GAGUUUGAUCAUGGCUCAGAUUGAACGCUGGCGGCAGGCCUAACACAUGCAAGUCGAACGGUAACAGGAAGCAGCUUGCUGCUUCGCUGACGAGUGGCGGACGGGUGAGUAAUGUCUGGGAAGCUGCCUGAUGGAGGGGGAUAACUACUGGAAACGGUAGCUAAUACCGCAUAAUGUCGCAAGACCAAAGAGGGGGACCUUCGGGCCUCUUGCCAUCGGAUGUGCCCGGAUGGGAUUAGCUUGUUGGUGGGGUAACGGCUCACCAAGGCGACGAUCCCUAGCUGGUCUGAGAGGAUGACCAGCCACACUGGAACUGAGACACGGUCCAGACUCCUACGGGAGGCAGCAGUGGGGAAUAUUGCACAAUGGGCGCAAGCCUGAUGCAGCCAUGCCGCGUGUAUGAAGAAGGCCUUCGGGUUGUAAAGUACUUUCAGCGGGGAGGAGGGGAGUAAAGUUAAUACCUUUGCUCAUUGACGUUACCCGCAGAAGAAGCACCGGCUAACUCCGUGCCAGCAGCCGCGGUAAUACGGAGGGUGCAAGCGUUAAUCGGAAUUACUGGGCGUAAAGCGCACGCAGGCGGUUUGUUAAGUCAGAUGUGAAAUCCCCGGGCUCAACCUGGGAACUGCAUCUGAUACUGGCAAGCUUGAGUCUCGUAGAGGGGGGUAGAAUUCCAGGUGUAGCGGUGAAAUGCGUAGAGAUCUGGAGGAAUACCGGUGGCGAAGGCGGCCCCCUGGACGAAGACUGACGCUCAGGUGCGAAAGCGUGGGGAGCAAACAGGAUUAGAUACCCUGGUAGUCCACGCCGUAAACGAUGUCGACUUGGAGGUUGUGCCCUUGAGGCGUGGCUUCCGGAGCUAACGCGUUAAGUCGACCGCCUGGGGAGUACGGCCGCAAGGUUAAAACUCAAAUGAAUUGACGGGGGCCCGCACAAGCGGUGGAGCAUGUGGUUUAAUUCGAUGCAACGCGAAGAACCUUACCUGGUCUUGACAUCCACGGAAGUUUUCAGAGAUGAGAAUGUGCCUUCGGGAACCGUGAGACAGGUGCUGCAUGGCUGUCGUCAGCUCGUGUUGUGAAAUGUUGGGUUAAGUCCCGCAACGAGCGCAACCCUUAUCCUUUGUUGUCAGCGGUCCGGCCGGGAACUCAAAGGAGACUGCCAGUGAUAAACUGGAGGAAGGUGGGGAUGACGUCAAGUCAUCAUGGCCC
This 1202-nucleotide ribosomal RNA is filed under the name metagenome. RNAcentral's name for it is "bacterial SSU rRNA". It matches the Rfam family "Bacterial small subunit ribosomal RNA", at positions 9 to 1201 of the family's 1533-position model. The record is from RNAcentral.